This is a long non-coding RNA of Siniperca chuatsi (mandarin fish), 778 nucleotides long. RefSeq lists it as uncharacterized. NCBI's taxonomy places the organism in Eukaryota, Metazoa, Chordata, Actinopteri, Centrarchiformes, Sinipercidae. The transcript has 2 exons. The record is from RefSeq and is a predicted model, not a curated record.
CAGACUCUGUUUGCAGCAUUUCAGUCACCUUCUUGUUUCUUGUUUGUGUCAAGCCAGGAACCAGGGAGAGGACCGAAACAGAGCAGAUUCAGUUAAACAGUUUUAAUGAAAAGAACAAGGCUAACUCGGGUUACAGGCAGACAGUGGUCACAACCAGGUGUGAGGCCUUAUGUCUGGUGUGAUGUGCCACCAACUCACUACAUGCCUGGAUGAUGGCAGCGAUAACUCCUGGGUGGAUGACAUAUGUACUGGAUUGUCUUGGGAUCGUAUUGCUGUCUACGUACAACAUUUGAGACAUUGCUGCAGAUGCUUUGCAGAAAUGGUUGAUGAACCCGUUUCUCAUUGCAACACUAAAGCAGAUAACUACAGUGGAUAAUAGGCUGAAUACUGUAGUUAAGGAUUCUCUCAACAUUUGCACGUAUAUCUACUGCCAUGUAUAAGAUGCUUUGGGAUGCUGUUAAUAAUGCAGUAUGUGACACUGAUAGAUUACUAUGGUGUCCUAGAUUUAAAAAGCAGACUGAAUGUCUUAGACAAGUGAUAGAGGAUUGGCAUGCUAUGGUAUAACUGAUUGCAGAUAAAUAUGCAGAUGUGAAAUCUACUCUAGUCAAGUAUUUUCCUUUGAAUGAUAAUGAAUUCCACAUGGGUCAUGUGUUUUCUUUUUGUACUUUUAGAACUGAUCUGUGUGUGUUGAUGUUAAACAGAAAGCAGCAUGUGGAUGUUGAUAAUAUAAUGCAAUGUUUAGUAGAAUCUUUGCUCAGUAAAAAUACAAAUGCCUGUA